AGUGAACGCUGGCGGUAGGCCUAACACAUGCAAGUCGAACGGCAGCACAGUAAGAGCUUGCUCUUACGGGUGGCGAGUGGCGGACGGGUGAGGAAUACAUCGGAAUCUACUUUUUCGUGGGGGAUAACGUAGGGAAACUUACGCUAAUACCGCAUACGACCUACGGGUGAAAGCAGGAGAUCUUCGGACCUUGCGCGAUUGAAUGAGCCGAUGUCGGAUUAGCUAGUUGGCGGGGUAAAGGCCCACCAAGGCGACGAUCCGUAGCUGGUCUGAGAGGAUGAUCAGCCACACUGGAACUGAGACACGGUUCAGACUCCUACGGGAGGCAGCAGUGGGGAAUAUUGGACAAGGGGCGCAAGCCUGAUCCAGCCAUACCGCGUGGGUGAAGAAGGCCUUCGGGUUGUAAAGCCCUUUUGUUGGGAAAGAAAAGCAGCAGGUUAAUACCCCGCUGUUCUGACGGUACCCAAAGAAUAAGCACCGGCUAACUUCGUG
This 492-nucleotide ribosomal RNA is filed under the name uncultured bacterium. RNAcentral's name for it is "partial 16S ribosomal RNA". It matches the Rfam family "Bacterial small subunit ribosomal RNA", at positions 29 to 507 of the family's 1533-position model. The record is from RNAcentral.